UACGUAGGGUGCGAGCGUUAAUCGGAAUUACUGGGCGUAAAGCGUGCGCAGGCGGUUGUGCAAGACCGAUGUGAAAUCCCCGGGCUUAACCUGGGAAUGGCAUUGGUGACUGCACGGCUAGAGUGUGUCAGAGGGGGGGUAGAAUUCCACGUGUAGCAGUGAAAUGCGUAGAGAUGUGGAGGAAUACCAGAGGCGAAGGCGGCUACCUGGACAAUUGCUGACGCUCAGGCACGGAAAGCGUGGGGAGCAAAAGGG
This 255-nucleotide ribosomal RNA is filed under the name uncultured bacterium. Its description in RNAcentral is "partial 16S ribosomal RNA". It matches the Rfam family "Bacterial small subunit ribosomal RNA", at positions 524 to 776 of the family's 1533-position model. The record is from RNAcentral.